AAAUUGAAGAGUUUGAUCAUGGCUCAGAUUGAACGCUGGCGGCAGGCCUAACACAUGCAAGUCGAGCGGUAGCACAGAGAGCUUGCUCUCGGGUGACGAGCGGCGGACGGGUGAGUAAUGUCUGGGAAACUGCCUGAUGGAGGGGGAUAACUACUGGAAACGGUAGCUAAUACCGCAUAACGUCGCAAGACCAAAGUGGGGGACCUUCGGGCCUCAUGCCAUCAGAUGUGCCCAGAUGGGAUUAGCUAGUAGGUGGGGUAACGGCUCACCUAGGCGACGAUCCCUAGCUGGUCUGAGAGGAUGACCAGCCACACUGGAACUGAGACACGGUCCAGACUCCUACGGGAGGCAGCAGUGGGGAAUAUUGCACAAUGGGCGCAAGCCUGAUGCAGCCAUGCCGCGUGUGUGAAGAAGGCCUUCGGGUUGUAAAGCACUUUCAGCGGGGAGGAAGGCGGUGAGGCUAAUAACCUCAUCGAUUGACGUUACCCGCAGAAGAAGCACCGGCUAACUCCGUGCCAGCAGCCGCGGUAAUACGGAGGGUGCAAGCGUUAAUCGGAAUUACUGGGCGUAAAGCGCACGCAGGCGGUCUGUCAAGUCGGAUGUGAAAUCCCCGGGCUCAACCUGGGAACUGCAUUCGAAACUGGCAGGCUAGAGUCUUGUAGAGGGGGGUAGAAUUCCAGGUGUAGCGGUGAAAUGCGUAGAGAUCUGGAGGAAUACCGGUGGCGAAGGCGGCCCCCUGGACAAAGACUGACGCUCAGGUGCGAAAGCGUGGGGAGCAAACAGGAUUAGAUACCCUGGUAGUCCACGCCGUAAACGAUGUCGAUUUGGAGGUUGUGCCCUUGAGGCGUGGCUUCCGGAGCUAACGCGUUAAAUCGACCGCCUGGGGAGUACGGCCGCAAGGUUAAAACUCAAAUGAAUUGACGGGGGCCCGCACAAGCGGUGGAGCAUGUGGUUUAAUUCGAUGCAACGCGAAGAACCUUACCUGGUCUUGACAUCCACAGAACUUUCCAGAGAUGGAUUGGUGCCUUCGGGAACUGUGAGACAGGUGCUGCAUGGCUGUCGUCAGCUCGUGUUGUGAAAUGUUGGGUUAAGUCCCGCAACGAGCGCAACCCUUAUCCUUUGUUGCCAGCGGUCCGGCCGGGAACUCAAAGGAGACUGCCAGUGAUAAACUGGAGGAAGGUGGGGAUGACGUCAAGUCAUCAUGGCCCUUACGACCAGGGCUACACACGUGCUACAAUGGCAUAUACAAAGAGAAGCGACCUCGCGAGAGCAAGCGGACCUCAUAAAGUAUGUCGUAGUCCGGAUUGGAGUCUGCAACUCGACUCCAUGAAGUCGGAAUCGCUAGUAAUCGUAGAUCAGAAUGCUACGGUGAAUACGUUCCCGGGCCUUGUACACACCGCCCGUCACACCAUGGGAGUGGGUUGCAAAAGAAGUAGGUAGCUUAACCUUCGGGAGGGCGCUUACCACUUUGUGAUUCAUGACUGGGGUGAAGUCGUAACAAGGUAACCGUAGGGGAACCUGCGGUUGGAUCACCUCCUUACCUUAAAGAA
This 1550-nucleotide ribosomal RNA is filed under the name Klebsiella pneumoniae. RNAcentral's name for it is "bacterial SSU rRNA". It matches the Rfam family "Bacterial small subunit ribosomal RNA". The record is from RNAcentral. Lineage: Bacteria; Pseudomonadati; Pseudomonadota; Gammaproteobacteria; Enterobacterales; Enterobacteriaceae.